UGCAUGUCUAAAAGUAUAAGCAAUUAUACUGCGAAACUGCGAAUGGCUCAUUAAAUCAGUUAUCGUUUAUUUGAUUGUACCUUACUACUUGGAUAACCGUGGUAAUUCUAGAGCUAAUACAUGCUAAAAACUCCGACUUCGGAAGGGAUGUAUUUAUUAGAUAAAAAACCAAUGCCCUUCCGGGGCUCUUGGUGAUUCAUAAUAACUAAUCGAAUCGCAUGGCCUUGCGCCGGCGAUGGUUCAUUCAAAUUUCUGCCCUAUCAACUUUCGAUUUUUGGGUAUUGGCCAACCAUGGUUUCAACGGGUAACGGGGAAUUAGGGUUCGACCCCGGAGAGGAAGCCUGAGAAACGGCUUACACAUCCAAGGAAGGCAGCAGGCGCGCAAAUUACCCAAUCCCGAUUCAGGGAGGUAGUGACAAUAAAUACUGAUACAGGGCUCUUUUGGGUCUUGUAAUUGGAAUGAGUACAAUUUAAAUCCCUUAACGAGGAACAAUUGGAGGGCAAGUCUGGUGCCAGCAGCCGCGGUAAUUCCAGCUCCAAUAGCGUAUAUUAAAGUUGUUGCAGUUAAAAAGCUCGUAGUUGAACCUUGGGCCUGGCUGGCCGGUCCGCCUCACCGCGUGUACUGGUCCGGCCGGGCCUUUCCUUCUGGGGAAGCCCAUGGCCUUCACUGGGUGUGGGGGGGAAACAGGACUUUUACUUUGAAAAAAUUAGAGUGUUCAAAGCAGGCCUAUGCUCGAAUACAUUAGCAUGGAAUAAUAGAAUAGGACGUGUGGUUCUAUUUUGUUGGUUUCUAGGACCGCCGUAAUGAUUAAUAGGGACAGUCGGGGGCAUCAGUAUUCAAUUGUCAGAGGUGAAAUUCUUGGAUUUAUUGAAGACUAACUACUGCGAAAGCAUUUGCCAAGGAUGUUUUCAUUAAUCAGUGAACGAAAGUUAGGGGAUCGAAGACGAUCACCGUCGUAGUCUUAACCAUAAACUAUGCCGACUAGGGAUCGGACGAUGUUAUAUUUAAUGACUCGGUCGGCACCUUACAAGAAAUCAAAGUUUUUGGGUCCAGGGGGGGAGUAUGGUCG
Molecule: ribosomal RNA, 1070 nt
Filed under: Dactylaria purpurella
Lineage: Eukaryota; Fungi; Ascomycota; Leotiomycetes; Helotiales
Description: SSU rRNA
Rfam family: Eukaryotic small subunit ribosomal RNA
Source: RNAcentral